GUUGUAUGGUUAAGUGACUAAGCGUACACGGUGGAUGCCUUGGCAGUCAGAGGCGAUGAAAGACGUAGUAACUUGCGAUAAGCCCAGAUUAGGUAGUAACAACCAUUUGAGUCUGGGAUUUCUGAAUGGGGAAACCCACGUGCAUAAGCACGUAUCCUUACCUGAAUACAUAGGGUAAGGAGGCGAACCGGGGGAACUGAAACAUCUAAGUACCCCGAGGAAAAGAAAUCAACCGAGAUUCCGAAAGUAGCGGCGAGCGAAAUUGGACUAGCCCUUAAGCUUUACACGCGUUAGACGAACGGUCUGGAAAGUCCGACGAUACAGGGUGAUAGUCCCGUAGUUGACGACGUGUGUUCAGUGAAAUCGAGUAGGGCGGGACACGUGAUAUCCUGUCUGAAUAUGGGGGGACCAUCCUCCAAGGCUAAAUACUACUGACUGACCGAUAGUGAACCAGUACCGUGAGGGAAAGGCGAAAAGAACCCCUGUGAGGGGAGUGAAAUAGAACCUGAAACCGUGUACGUACAAGCAGUAGGAGCAGGCUUUGUCCUGUGACUGCGUACCUUUUGUAUAAUGGGUCAGCGACUUAUAUUCAGUGGCAAGGUUAACCAUCUAGGGGAGCCGUAGGGAAACCGAGUCUUAACUGGGCGUUCAGUCUCUGGAUAUAGACCCGAAACCAGGUGAUCUAGCCAUGGGCAGGUUGAAGGUUGAGUAACAUCAACUGGAGGACCGAACCGACUAAUGUUGAAAAAUUAGCGGAUGACUUGUGGCUAGGGGUGAAAGGCCAAUCAAACCUGGAGAUAGCUGGUUCUCCCCGAAAGCUAUUUAGGUAGCGCCUCGGACGAAUACUACUGGGGGUAGAGCACUGUUAAGGCUAGGGGGUCAUCCCGACUUACCAACCCUUUGCAAACUCCGAAUACCAGUAAGUACUAUCCGGGAGACACACGGCGGGUGCUAACGUCCGUCGUGGAGAGGGAAACAACCCAGACCGCCAGCUAAGGUCCCAAAUUACUACUAAGUGGGAAACGAUGUGGGAAGGCUCAGACAGCCAGGAUGUUGGCUUAGAAGCAGCCAUCAUUUAAAGAAAGCGUAAUAGCUCACUGGUCGAGUCGGCCUGCGCGGAAGAUGUAACGGGGCUAAGUAGUAAACCGAAGCUGCGGCAAUAUACUUUUGUAUAUUGGGUAGGGGAGCGUUCUGUAAGCGGUUGAAGGUGUGUGGUAACGCAUGCUGGACGUAUCAGAAGUGCGAAUGCUGACAUGAGUAACGAUAAAGGGGGUGAAAAACCUCCUCGCCGGAAGACCAAGGGUUCCUGUCCAACGUUAAUCGGGGCAGGGUAAGUCGACCCCUAAGGCGAGGCCGAAAGGCGUAGUCGAUGGGAAACGGGUUAAUAUUCCCGUACUUCUUACAAUUGCGAUGGGGGGACGGAGAAGGCUAGGUGGGCCUGGCGACGGUUGUCCAGGUUCAAGUGCGUAGGCUUGAGAGUUAGGUAAAUCCGGCUCUCUUUAAGGCUGAGACACGACGUCGAGCACCUACGGGUGUGAAGUCAUUGAUGCCAUGCUUCCAGGAAAAGCCUCUAAGCUUCAGAUUGUAAGGAAUCGUACCCCAAACCGACACAGGUGGUCGGGUAGAGAAUACCAAGGCGCUUGAGAGAACUCGGGUGAAGGAACUAGGCAAAAUGGUACCGUAACUUCGGGAGAAGGUACGCUCUUGAUGGUGAAGUCCCUUGCGGAUGGAGCUGACGAGAGUCGCAGAUACCAGGUGGCUGCAACUGUUUAUUAAAAACACAGCACUGUGCAAAAUCGUAAGAUGACGUAUACGGUGUGACGCCUGCCCGGUGCCGGAAGGUUAAUUGAUGGGGUUAGACUUCGGUCGAAGCUCUUGAUCGAAGCCCCGGUAAACGGCGGCCGUAACUAUAACGGUCCUAAGGUAGCGAAAUUCCUUGUCGGGUAAGUUCCGACCUGCACGAAUGGCGUAAUGAUGGCCACGCUGUCUCCACCCGAGACUCAGUGAAAUUGAAAUCGCUGUGAAGAUGCAGUGUACCCGCGGCUAGACGGAAAGACCCCGUGAACCUUUACUACAGCUUGGCACUGAACAUUGACCCUACAUGUGUAGGAUAGGUGGGAGGCUUUGAAGCACGUACGCCAGUAUGUGUGGAGCCGUCCUUGAAAUACCACCCUUGUAGUGUUGAUGUUCUAACGUUGACCCCUAAUCGGGGUUGCGGACAGUGCCUGGUGGGUAGUUUGACUGGGGCGGUCUCCUCCCAAAGAGUAACGGAGGAGCACGAAGGUGGGCUAAUCACGGUUGGACAUCGUGAGGUUAGUGCAAUGGCAUAAGCCCGCUUGACUGCGAGAAUGACAAUUCGAGCAGGUGCGAAAGCAGGUCAUAGUGAUCCGGUGGUUCUGAAUGGAAGGGCCAUCGCUCAACGGAUAAAAGGUACUCCGGGGAUAACAGGCUGAUACCGCCCAAGAGUUCAUAUCGACGGCGGUGUUUGGCACCUCGAUGUCGGCUCAUCACAUCCUGGGGCUGAAGUCGGUCCCAAGGGUAUGGCUGUUCGCCAUUUAAAGUGGUACGCGAGCUGGGUUUAGAACGUCGUGAGACAGUUCGGUCCCUAUCUGCCGUGGGCGUUGGAAGAUUGAAGGGGGCUGCUCCUAGUACGAGAGGACCGGAGUGGACGAACCUCUGGUGUUCGGGUUGUGUCGCCAGACGCAUUGCCCGGUAGCUAAGUUCGGAAUCGAUAACCGCUGAAAGCAUCUAAGCGGGAAGCGAGCCCUGAGAUGAGUCUUCCCUGAUACUUUAAGUAUCCUAAAGGGUUGUCGGAGACUACGACGUUGAUAGGUCAGGUGUGUAAGUGCUGUGAGGCAUUGAGCUAACUGAUACUAAUUGCCCGUGAGGCUUAACCAUACAACACCCAAGGGGUUU
This 2916-nucleotide ribosomal RNA is filed under the name Vibrio parahaemolyticus. RNAcentral's name for it is "bacterial LSU rRNA". It matches the Rfam family "Bacterial large subunit ribosomal RNA". The record is from RNAcentral. Lineage: Bacteria; Pseudomonadati; Pseudomonadota; Gammaproteobacteria; Vibrionales; Vibrionaceae.